CUUUCAGACCUGUGCAACGGUGCUUUCAGGUACCGAGUCAGGAUGGGAACAUAGCAGCUCACUUGGUUGCAUUGUGUGCCGCAGGUAUCUGGAAGGGA
Molecule: signal recognition particle RNA, 98 nt
Filed under: Helicobacteraceae bacterium 4484_230
Lineage: Bacteria; Pseudomonadati; Campylobacterota; Epsilonproteobacteria; Campylobacterales; Helicobacteraceae
Description: signal recognition particle sRNA small type
Rfam family: Bacterial small signal recognition particle RNA
About the family: The signal recognition particle (SRP) is a universally conserved ribonucleoprotein involved in the co-translational targeting of proteins to membranes. Archaeal SRP consists of a 7S RNA and homologues of the eukaryotic SRP19 and SRP54 proteins.
Source: RNAcentral